RNAcentral lists this small nuclear RNA (21 nucleotides) under Arabidopsis thaliana (thale cress). RNAcentral's name for it is "snRNA_04847". The record is from RNAcentral. Lineage: Eukaryota; Viridiplantae; Streptophyta; Magnoliopsida; Brassicales; Brassicaceae.
AUAUAGAGAAAACACACAGCG